UCCACCUGUGCUGUUACGUGUUUGCUUCUCCUUCCAUCGAUUAGCAUUGCUUGAGUACAGAGAGUGACAGAGGUAGAGAGAGAGAGUGAGGGUCUUCUUCUUUGCUUCCGCAGAAAGAGAGAGAAGGGAAAUGGGUUCUGGUUCCGCGCCUAAGCCAAGAAUUGGUUAUGGUUCUGAUCAUCUCUGCAUCUUCGUUUCCCCUUCAGCUUGAAAUUCAAUUUCUUUCCGAUUUUCAUUCACAACUAUCAGCCGUGGAAUACCCCUUUCAAAUUUGCAUGUAUGAAAAAUCAAAAUUUUUUACGACACUACCAUUCACCGAGGUAUAAAAUCCUAUCGAUCAGCCACAGAGUUCUGUUUUGUUUUCCGCUCUCUCCCCGCUCUUCUUUUCGUCAGUCGUCUCAGAGCUUCUUCAUAUUGAUCGGCGCAAUGAAAUCCCUUCUGAGCUUCAUCGCAAACCCUAAAUAAAAACUUGAAUUCGUCACCAGCAAGGUCAUUAAAUUCGUCGGAGGCUCGGCGCCUUCGAUAAGUGUUUUUGCUAUCUAGAAUUUUGUUGGGUACCGAUUAAUUUCCCACUUUGAAUUUAGCAUGAGAAUUGAUUUGGUUACAGGAGACCGGUUAUUGGGCGAAGGAGAAGAUGAUUCUUUUUGGUUUGCUAUGAAUCUGGUUUUGUGUAAUUCGUCAGUUUGGUUGUGUAUGUGUUCAAAUUAAAGUAUGCAGCUGGUUCUUUUGUUUUGUAUUGUUGAGUGGUUGAAUGAAGUUGAAUACUGUGCUAUUUGUCCCUGUGUAUCAAAAUUAACCUUGCAUCAGUUGUGUUGUUAAAUUCUUGAAUUUUUCAUUUUCUCAAGUUGAGUAGUUUCAGCAUAGAUAUGAGGUUAGAUGUAAGUUCAGUUCCAGUGGAAACAUGAUGUUGCAUAGUCAUAUUUUAUGUAGUUGACAUGGUCUGAUACUCUAAUGUAGAUAAACCCAUAUGUCAUUGGAAUUCUUGAAGAAGCUGGCCUAAAAUUUGUAAGGAAGGAUGACAGAGGAAGAAGAAUGGAGCUGGUUUUUCUUCUGGUCUGAUGUUUGGCUGCCUUGCUUACAUUAACUUGAACAUUUGUCAGAGUUUAGUUCUUUAUAGUUGCACAAAUUCCUAUUCUUUUGUAUACGUACUGAAAAGUGUUUACGGUGUUUUCUGUCUUGAAGCUUAUUAAUUUAUGUAUCUAUUAUUAUUAUCAUAUUGGCAGGGUGAUUUUCUACUUUGCACGAAGUUUUCUGAAUAUGGAAACUAUGGGGAAGAAAAAUGACAGUGAGCAGAAUGGAGAGACUGCGAACCAAGGCCCCCCCCUUUGAAAUGAUACCGCGUCACUUCCCUCUCAGGCCAUAAUAAUUUGACCAGGACUUGCUUGAUGGUGUGAGAAGAUGUGUGGAGCAAAUUGACAAAGCUAGCCGCGGGAUCUGAGUGCCGAUGAAUUGAAGGUGGUGCAGACUAAGGGAAUGCAGGACCCAGCGUCGUGUUAUCCGGAAUUGAGCCGCUAAUGCAGAAGAUACAUUGUGAAAUUUGGCUCGUAGAUGCUGGAAUUCUAGCUGCAGUUAAUCAACAGCAGGUUGUCGAAUCUGAGAAUAUCCUGCAGAGCUUUCUUAACGGUUCAUUUCAAAGUAGUGCAGUGAAUUUGUACAAGUACACCUGCCUUCAUUUGUUGAGGAAGCUAUUGGAGAGACCCAGAAGCCGACCUAUGCUUCUAUAUUGCGCAUUGCUAAAGGACAAGCUGCAUCAUCUGUGGCUCCUCAGCAUUCAAUUUACGAGACUGCACUACUGGCUUCAGAUUGGAAUGACUUUUCAGUCCAAUGCAGUUGAAAGGGCUGUAGCAGAGACAGCAGGAAGUUUCCACCCUAGAAGAUGAAGAGCCCACCUGUACGAUUUAUGUGGCACCGUGUUUUCGUCUUCCGCGUGUCUUCUUCUCCUCUCCACCGAACGACCUCUUGGGGGAGAGACAUCACAUCAGAAAAUGCUGCAGACACCACUCAAAUUACAUAUUCUGAUCGUACACCAUUGUACCUUUAAACCCUCUGCCUGUCUCGAGUAAAUCUCGAUUGCCACGGAGUGUUGUGCUGUCUCUUUCUGGCCAUCUGCCGUGUUGUUCUGUUGCCAUGAAGAGAGAGGGUUCGAUCGGUAGCCUAAAAGAGAGAGGUAGAGUAUCGGUUUAAUCCAGAGAGACAGAAAAAGAGAGAGAUAGAUAGAGGGCGAGGAGUUUGCAUGACUGGCGAUUUGAGCUGUUUUGGCGCAGAGAUUUUGGUUGUUGUUUGCUGACGAGUUGUCUACUAUUUGGUUGGUAAUUUUUUCUUCGUCAAUAAUGUUUGUGUUGAUUCCCUCUGAUGUUCUUAAUUUGCUGAAAAGAAAAAGUGGGAUUGUUCGAGGUUCAAUCUUCUCAGGAUUAUUUGCUUGGGAACAAAGAAAGAAAGAAAGUAGGGAUCAAUAUUCGGGAACCUCUCCUUCUGGAAAAACAGGUCCAAUGGUGGCUGGAAUUUAAGGUCCACUUGACCCAAUCCCAGCAUCAAGCAGAUCUUGAGAUAUAGCAACCUGUUAAACCAAUAUCUCCAGCAAUAAAGCCUCAUUAUUGUUACAGAUCUGAAGCUCAAAAGAUCAAUUCAUUGGUAUUUAGAUUAUAAAGAAUGACAUCUUGAAGCCAAUUACAUGGAUACAGAAUGCUAAAAACGACAGCCAAAAAUUGAUGGAUCGAUCUGCUAUUGGGUUGUCUCCUUGGAAAAGGGCAUUAUGCGCUCCUUAGACAAGCAGAGCUAAAAACAUUGGUGGAUCUGCAUGCGAAUGAGGUUUGCUUCUUACUAAAUGCAUAGAGCAAACAAGUUGAAGGAAAUCUGUCUUUUGUGACAGACUUCUGUUAUGCAAAGCAGGGCCAGGGAAAGGUGGAGAUUUGUUGCAUCAUGAAAGUGAGGCUUACUCUUGAGGAAAAGAGAGGAGACAAUAAGUGGGUUCCGCCGAUACACAGCAAAAGAGAGGAGAUGAGAGGAGGGACAAGGGGAUGGGAAGAGCAUGAAUCUGGCUAUUUGAUUGUUAAAGCAUCAGGUGAAAGUCAUUCAGUUUGUAAUUGUCUCUUUGACUGGAUGGGGUGUGCUUAUCUUUAGUGGAUACAAGUUUUUCACCGGAGACAAAGGCAAGAUGGAAGAGGGAAAUAUCUAAGGCAUGCAUCACCAUGUGGCACGAUGGAGUUCGAUUCUAUUAAGCAUCAUAUACCUUUCUUCCCCUGGAUUGCAUCAACAGGAAAUGGAGCACCUGGAUGGAAACAAGCACUCUCAGCUUUACAAUGUCAAGAAGGGCAAGGUAAGUUUGGGUCAGGCGGUUUGUUGCAGAUGUAGGAGUUCAGAGAGGUUUUUAAACAAAAUUGUGGCCUUUAUGCAUGGUUUUGAAGACGAGGAAUUAAUUGACAUUUGAAUUGAUAGUGGCUAUAUCAGCUAGCAUUGGUUCUAUUGCUCAUUCAAAAAAAUAAAAUAACAAUAAAUAAAGAGAUGAUCACCAGAGAGGAAGGAAUUGUUCAAAGCAAAACCGAGCAAGAACCCAAAAAGGCAAGUUUUAAAAUUUUCGCUUCAAUUCUAAUUUCAGGACCGUACUCAUUGUUUGCAGUUUCUUUUCCACUUAGUUUUUGCGUUUUAUCUACUCUGUCCGUUCUAUUUAGUCAUCCCUUAGUUAAUGAGCCAAUCUUUUAUGUAUAACCUUCAUUUGCUCUGUAUAUUUCAGAAUUCAGACACAACUAUGAAGAUGAAACAACACCAUCAGAUCAGACCAGCACAAAUACAUUGGUUCAAUCUGAUACAAAAGACCUUACCUAGCCACUUCUGCUUUGUAAUCUUAUGCUUUUUGUCAAGCUGUGCAACUUUUUUCCAUAAGGACCAUUCUCUAUGUUUUUGGUAAUGCUAACGGUCCAUGAAAAACAAUCAACCAAAACAGCAGACAUUUUGUACAUCUACGGAUCAAUGUACAUAAAAGCUUUUUUGCUAUU
Molecule: long non-coding RNA, 3992 nt
Organism: Rosa rugosa (rugosa rose)
Lineage: Eukaryota; Viridiplantae; Streptophyta; Magnoliopsida; Rosales; Rosaceae
Exons: 14
Source: RefSeq, a predicted model, not a curated record